RNA transcript from Hylaeus volcanicus, 2322 nucleotides. RefSeq lists it as uncharacterized. NCBI's taxonomy places the organism in Eukaryota, Metazoa, Arthropoda, Insecta, Hymenoptera, Colletidae. The record is from RefSeq and is a predicted model, not a curated record. The transcript is spliced from 27 exons.
AAAUAAUUCAUUACAUCUCACAGUAUAUUGGUAAACUGCAUCAUUCAUAGGAUGCUAGUAUAGAUGAAAUAAAACCACCAAAACAAUUAAUAAGAUUCCUGUGUUAUUUUAAUAAAACAAAAAAACGCGUAUUUUUGUUUAAUAGAUUAAAGUUCAUCAAGAAAGAUGUCCUUAAGUUUUUUGUAUCUUUCAAAUAAUAUCAACAGAGUACACACUAUGAUGAGCAAACACACGGAUCAAGUUCUGUUAAAAAGGAAAAUCGAUGUUAUUUUAUGUAUAAUUUUUGUGAUAUUAUUUUUAACAUUUCUUUUUGAAUAUUUACAUGAUUUUUUAUCAAAAAAAGUUAAAGCGCAUAGUCAUUUACUCAAGGAAACGUUUGAAGCGUUAUUUAAAGAAUUAAUGGUGUUGGGUUUUAUUUCCUUACUUUUAUUUUUUCUAACAAGAGUCGGCAUUACUCAGCGAUUGAAUGAUAUGAUUUUCGGUGAAGAUAAAAUAGAAGUAGCUGCAAAAAAAGAAUUAAAAGAAGAAGGAAAAUCACUUGUCUUAGCGCCCACUGUACUAUAUGAAUUGUUUGAGAAUAUUCAUAUUUGUAUUUUUCUAAUAAUGACCCUUUUUAUUGCCAUCGUGAUUUUCCUUAUUGUUGUUGCUAUGCGUCAAAGUUUUCAGUGGAAAAAGUUUCAAAAUCAUACAAUACGUGAAAAACAAAUAGCAAUAGAAAAUGAUUCAUGUACCACGGAGGAACUAGAAUUUUGGAUUAUUCACAAAAGAUUUUUAAAUCCGACAACUCCUUUUUCCUAUGUACCAAAUAAUCCAAGUGAUUUUCCAUUUCAUGAAUAUCUUAGCGAAAAAAUGAAUUCAAAUCUUUUACAGAUGGUGGAAAUACCAUACUUCACGUGGAUCACACUUUUUCUAAUAGCCAUCAUACUACGGCCUGUAUUAGAUUUUUCGGUUAUAUAUCGCCUAGCUUUCGUAGAUUACUGCGCUGUAUGUGUAUGUAUAUUUUCUAUUGCUCUUUCUAUAAAAUUAAGAAGCAUUAAAAGAAAACUACGCCCAAGUAUUGAUAAUGUUCAGCGUUUUUUAUUAUACAUUGGUAACGGAGAUGAGACCGUAACAGCGGGAAUGGCACCCAUUGAUACGUUAGAUUUCAUUAUGAAGAACAAUCUUUUUGGAAAAUGUUUCCAACAGAGAGAAUAUAUAAAUCGGCAAGAAAAAUUAUUCCCCUUUGGGUGUAAAGGACCUCACUAUCUUUUGUACUGCAUUCAAUUAACAUUGUUUCUUCAUGUUAUAGUAUGUACAAUGAUUUGCCGAAUGCUUCUUUCUCUUUAUUCGCAUAAGGAUUUCGGCGCAUUCCCUUUAUGGAUCAUGCAUCUAUUAUGUUUGGGUGUCUGCAUUGUCUGCUUUUUGAUGCUCUGGCCUGUGAUACUUCGAGAUUUCACUCUUUGUACUAGUAUUGAAUUGUUUACGGAUAAAAUCGUUAUAAAAAAGAUUGAGAAAGAAGUUGAAGAGAGAAAAUGGAAAAAAAAUAAACAGAUACUUUUUUGCUUAAAAGAGAUUUUUGAGCAAAGUGAGAAAGCUAAGAGUGAAGAAUCCAUGAAAGCGCUGAUAGAGAAGGGUCGUUUAUGGAUUAAAAGUUUGCCUGACCAAGAUUACAAAUGUUAUUUAAGUCUUUUUCACAAUUUUUGCGAAAAAAAUGGUCGAAUAAGUCAGAAAAGCCUGUUUCGUUUAUUGAAGCGUUUAAAGCUCAAACACUGUCAUUUGCCGCAGGAUCUUUUAAAUAGAUGGUACGAUAAUGUGUCGCUUUUAAAUUCAAUGAGCUCAGGACUAAAUCAUACGCAAUUUUUAACAUUUUUGGGUAUGCUAUUCUCUUAUGAAGAAAGGUUUCAAAAUGAUGACGGAAAAGAGAUGUUUGAAUUACUUGAUAUUCACGGAGAAGGGUAUGUCACGUUGGAUGAUUUCGAAGAAGCAUUCUCUAGUUUUAAAAACGUUUUUGAUGCAUCUGAUAUCAAACAACUUUUUUUUGAUAUCACUCAACAACAAGGAAAAAUAAUGACACAAAAAAUGUUUGAAACAUGGGUAUCUCAGGUCACGGUGGAAACAUCCCAAUCUGAUACGCUUUGAACGUCUUUUGUUUUAAAAUUAUAUUUAAUUUUCAUAGAAAGACAUUGUGAAAGACACUUCAAAGAAGCUUCUUCGUUUUUCUUUUCUUCUUUUUUGGGAGUACGUACAAUACCUUGAAUAUGCGGGGACAGACCAAAACCACCCAGUGAUCGUAAUCCCUGUGAUGCAUUGAAAAUACUAGGAUAAACAAGAGGUACAGACUCG